Molecule: ribosomal RNA, 341 nt
Filed under: uncultured Polymyxa
Lineage: Eukaryota; Endomyxa; Phytomyxea; Plasmodiophorida; Plasmodiophoridae
Description: SSU rRNA
Rfam family: Eukaryotic small subunit ribosomal RNA (bases 124-341)
Source: RNAcentral
GACUGGUGUGCGCCUGAUGCGGCGAUCUGCGGCCAAAAGGUCGUUGCGAUCUGCCCGUCCUGGCGCCGUAAAAUUUGCAACUGGGUCGCCGCUGGCCUUAAUUGAUCGGUGGCGUCUGCUCGGUUGCUCGUUUACUGUGAGAAAAUUGGAGUGUUCAAGGCAGGCGUGGAUUGCAACUGAACAUGGUUAGCAUUGAAUAAUAAGAUAGGGCUCCGGCUCAUAUUUUGUUGGUUUCUAGAGCGUGGAAGUAAUGAUUGAUAGGGACAGUUGGGGGUCCUAGUAUUCAGCGGCCAGAGGUGAAAUUCAUGGAUUCGCUGAAGACUGACUUAUGCGAAAGCAUU